Molecule: transfer RNA, 72 nt
Filed under: Camelus bactrianus (Bactrian camel)
Lineage: Eukaryota; Metazoa; Chordata; Mammalia; Artiodactyla; Camelidae
Also listed under: 2 other names
Rfam family: tRNA
About the family: Transfer RNA (tRNA) molecules are approximately 80 nucleotides in length. Their secondary structure includes four short double-helical elements and three loops (D, anti-codon, and T loops).
Source: Rfam by way of RNAcentral
GAGGAUAUAGCUCAGUGGUAGAGCGCAUGCCUAGCAUGCAUGAGGUCCUGGGUUCAAUCCCCAGUCCCUCCA